Molecule: long non-coding RNA, 411 nt
Filed under: Medicago truncatula (barrel medic)
Lineage: Eukaryota; Viridiplantae; Streptophyta; Magnoliopsida; Fabales; Fabaceae
Description: long non-coding RNA (MTRU_LNC004160)
Source: RNAcentral
AAUCCACCACCCUCCGUUUCUUCGAUCUUGACCUAAAUGAUUGGAUCCAUUUUCCCCUCAACUUUCUCCCUUUCUCUUCCCUUCUUCCAGUAGCUUCCUCUGAUGGACUCAUCUACCUUUGGGCAGAAGGUAUUAACAAUAGUCCAAUCUCCCAAACUCUAACCACGACAUCCCUCGUCUCUUGUAACCCACUAACACGCCAAUUCCGGAUCCAUCCUCCUUGUCCACCUGGUUUCGUUUUAGUUGACUCGGUAAACAGAAUCAUGAUUCUAACCGAAUUCGCCAUUUAUUAUUUCUCCGGUGAUAGCAACGAUAGCACACACGGAUGGCAAAAGCUCUCAUCCAACCUCCCUUCUAAACCACGGAGUCCAAUCCUCAUUGAGGAUUCGGCUUACGUGCUUUGCAACGUUG